GACGAACGCUGGCGGCGUGCCUAAUACAUGCAAGUUGAGCGCUGAAGGUUGGUACUUGUACCGACUGGAUGAGCAGCGAACGGGUGAGUAACGCGUGGGGAAUCUGCCUUUGAGCGGGGGACAACAUUUGGAAACGAAUGCUAAUACCGCAUAAAAACUUUAAACACAAGUUUUAAGUUUGAAAGAUGCAAUUGCAUCACUCAAAGAUGAUCCCGCGUUGUAUUAGCUAGUUGGUGAGGUAAAGGCUCACCAAGGCGAUGAUACAUAGCCGACCUGAGAGGGUGAUCGGCCACAUUGGAACUGAGACACGGCCCAAACUCCUACGGGAGGCAGCAGUAGGGAAUCUUCGGCAAUGGACGAAAGUCUGACCGAGCAACGCCGCGUGAGUGAAGAAGGUUUUCGGAUCGUAAAACUCUGUUGGUAGAGAAGAACGUUGGUGAGAGUGGAAAGCUCAUCAAGUGACGGUACCUACCCAGAAGGGGACGGCUACCUACGU
Molecule: ribosomal RNA, 496 nt
Filed under: uncultured bacterium
Lineage: Bacteria
Description: partial 16S ribosomal RNA
Rfam family: Bacterial small subunit ribosomal RNA
Source: RNAcentral